UGGGGAAUCUUGCGCAAUGGGCGAAAGCCUGACGCAGCAACGCCGCGUGGGGGAUGAAGGCUCUCGGGUUGUAAACCCCUUUCAGCAGGGACGAAUCAAGACGGUACCUGCAGAAGAAGCCCCGGCUAACUACGUGCCAGCAGCCGCGGUAACACGUAGGGGGCAAGCGUUGUCCGGAUUUAUUGGGCGUAAAGAGCUCGUAGGUGGCUGAGUAAGUCGGAUGUUAAAUCCCCAGGCUCAACCUGGGACA
RNAcentral lists this ribosomal RNA (250 nucleotides) under uncultured bacterium. Its description in RNAcentral is "partial 16S ribosomal RNA". It matches the Rfam family "Bacterial small subunit ribosomal RNA", at positions 355 to 621 of the family's 1533-position model. The record is from RNAcentral.